UACGUAGGCAGCAAGCGUUGUUCGGAGUUACUGGGCGUAAAGGGUGCGUAGGCGGUUGUUUAAGUUUGGUGUGAAAUCUCCCGGCUCAACUGGGAGGGUGCGCCGAAUACUGAAUGACUAGAGUGCGGGAGAGGAGAGCGGAAUUCCUGGUGUAGCGGUGAAAUGCGUAGAUAUCAGGAGGAACACCGGUGGUGUAGACGGCUCUCUGGACCAUAACUGACACUGAGGCACGAAAGCGUGGGUAGCAAACAGG
Molecule: ribosomal RNA, 253 nt
Filed under: uncultured bacterium
Lineage: Bacteria
Description: partial 16S ribosomal RNA
Rfam family: Bacterial small subunit ribosomal RNA
Source: RNAcentral